This 543-nucleotide unclassified non-coding RNA is filed under the name Hevea brasiliensis (rubber tree). Lineage: Eukaryota; Viridiplantae; Streptophyta; Magnoliopsida; Malpighiales; Euphorbiaceae. The record is from RNAcentral.
CACCUGAUAUAGGUAAUGCAAAGUCUAUGGGGUUAUUAAUUCUAGCUAACAAUCAAUUUUCUGGUGAGUUGCCUGCUGCAAUUUCACAUGCUUCUUCCCUGGUGUCAGUCCAGUUGAGCUCAAAUCAAUUUCUUGGCAGAAUCCCAGAAAGUAUUGGUGAAUUGAAGAAACUAAACAGUCUUUAUUUGAAUGGAAACUUGUUUUCUGGUACUAUACCAGAUUCAUUAGGCUCGUGUGUAUCUCUCACUGAUAUAAACCUCUCUGGCAAUUCAUUUUCCGGGGAAAUACCUGAGAGUCUUGGAUCUCUUUUUACUUUGAACUCCUUGAAUUUAUCCAACAACAAACUUUCUGGUCAAAUUCCAGUUAGUUUAUCAUCUCUAAGGCUAAGCAAUCUUGAUCUGUCAGAUAACCAGCUGGUUGGUCCCAUACCUCAAUCUUUAUCCCUUUCAUGAAGGCUUUGAUGGAAACCCAGGUUUAUGUAGCAACAAUCUGAGGAAUAUCCAACCUUGUUCAGCCACUUCUCGCACUUCUGGUCACCGCCGC